GAGUUUGAUCCUGGCUCAGAAUGAACGCUGGCGGCGUGGAUAAGACAUGCAAGUCGAACGGAAACACUGAUUAGUUUACUAAGAUGUGUUUUAGUGGCGGACGGGUUAGUAACACGUGAGCAACCUACCUCGAAGCGGGGGACAGCCUUCCGAAAGGGAGAUUAAUACCGCAUACGAUCUUCGGAUCAAAGGAGCCUUCGGGUUCCACUUCGAGAUGGGCUCGCGGCCUAUCAGCUAGUUGGUGAGGUAAAGGCUCACCAAGGCAACGACGGGUAGCUGGUCUGAGAGGAUGAUCAGCAACACUGGAACUGAGACACGGUCCGGACACCUACGGGUGGCAGCAGUCGAGAAUCAUUCACAAUGGACGAAAGUCUGAUGGUGCAACGCCGCGUGGAGGAUGAAGGCCCUAGGGUCGUAAACUCCUGUCAUAAUAGAGUAAGACAUAUUGGGUUAAUACCCUGGUAUGUUUGAUAGUAUAUUAAGAGGAAGGGACGGCUAACUUCGUGCCAGCAGCCGCGGUAAUACGAAGGUCCCGAGCGUUAUUCGGAAUCACUGGGCGUAAAGAGUACGUAGGCGGUUUGGUAAGUCAGGUGUGAAAUCCCGAAGCUCAACUUCGGAACUGCAUCCGAUACUGCCAGACUAGAGUAAUGGAGGGGCAGGUGGAAUUCUCGGUGUAGCAGUGAAAUGCGUAGAUAUCGAGAGGAAGACCAAUGGCGAANGCAGCCUGCUGGACAUUUACUGACGCUGAAGUAC
RNAcentral lists this ribosomal RNA (753 nucleotides) under uncultured bacterium. RNAcentral's name for it is "bacterial SSU rRNA". It matches the Rfam family "Bacterial small subunit ribosomal RNA", at positions 9 to 754 of the family's 1533-position model. The record is from RNAcentral.